CUUAAUCUCUUUAUUUUCUGACAGCUCCUGACUGUCAGUCAAUGCUGUAAAUAUUGUGCACCUAAGAAAAUGUUUACCCAACACUUAACUUUCCCAUGAAGCAGGAUGGCUUCAGGAAAGUGAGUGCUAAGCAUUCUUGUUGUUAUAAGGCCACGUGGAAUAGGUUGAGUUUGACUACUCACUUCCCCAGAGUCCAUAGAAACAGUCUAGAGACUGUGGUUUGCCUUGCAGCCUGCAAGUGACAGGGAAAAGCCACCAUGACCUCCCUCCUGCACGAUAAACUUCAUGAAACCUACUGUCAGGCUCCUUCUCCCAGCAAAGAUUUUCAUCAUCUUACCAUCACCAAAACAGAGGUGAUCUGGAGGACUUGGAGGAUUUCCUUUCGGCCAAAUCAAGGAAAGGUUUUUCCAACAGAAGGAAGGUACAGGAUGUCUUUAGUAAGAGGAUGCUGGAAUAUAUUCUGAACUUGUGUCAGGGACAUUAUGAUUUCCUGGUUCGAAUGCCUGACAAUCUGCUUAUAUAUAUCCUGUCAUUUCUUAACAUGGAUGCCAUUGGACAACUGUCAAAAACUUGCAAAAAAUUUCAGCAGUUAUGCAGCAGCAAAGAAUUUUGGGAGAGAGUUGGAAUGCUUCAAGAUGAACAGAGUCUUGAUAAGAGGAUGAUGGCAUUCCCAGUUUACAAGAAGCUAAUAAACUUAAAUCAAAAGCACCAUCAGAUUCAGAGAAGACAGACUACACUAUUUUAAUGUUGUUUGAGUAUUAUUGGAAUGAACCUAACAGGCCAAUCAUGCAUUUUCCUAUUAUAUCGCUACUACUAAAGGAAGAUUAAGAAGUUAAAAUAAAUAAAUAUCAAUUUCUCUAGAGGAUUAAGAUUUCAUCAGUCCCUUCCCUCAUUAGUUACAAUUGGAAUGGCAACAUUAGUUUGCAAAUCACAUUUCCACCUAAAUUGUUUGAAAUUCUUUAAUUAUAAGUAAUUCAUCAUAUUACUGGGAUGGAAACAACAGCAAUAUUUAUACUUUUUUUCUUUUGUUAAGGAUUUUUUGUGUACUUUAUAGCUUCUCAUACAGGUCAGAGGAAUACCAAUACAGUUGGGUGCGUCAGCUGGGCAGCUGUUACACACAGGGCAAUGGUUAAUUCUGGUUGCUACCAUGCCACCACUGUGAUUAUACAACUGUGGCAGCAGCAUUUUUUUUUUAGCUACCUUCCUCUGCCCAUCCAAGGCAGCACCUGAGACAGCUGCCCAGGUUGCCCCGCUUUUGUUAUGCUACUGAUACAGGCCCUACAGUGUUGAACCUUAAAGUAAACAGUAACGUAUACAAAGUUGUACACAUAAAGGAGAAGGAGGAGGGUCAUCCUGACCAGGCUUAGAGAAUAAUGAAGAGGCCCAGCAAAAGACUCAUUGAAAAAUAAAGAAACAAGGGAAAAGGAACAGUUUGCUCUUUUAAAUUCUUAGUUUAAUGUCAGGUAAUUGAGCUUUAUUGAGCUUUUAAAGUCAUAAACAUAACAUCUUCCAAAAUGUUAUUCCUUUAAAUCUGCUUCAAGUCAUGAAUAUUACUGAUUAUUUAGCUUCUAUCUCACUCCACCUUAUAAAAAUAGUUCAUUGGACAUACACACACUUAUUAUGGUUCACUCAGUGCAGUAGAAAUUAUAAACAAAAGACUUGAGCCCUACAUAAUGACUUAAGAAGUGAUACAAAGGAGCUGGGGGGCAGGGGAGGCUGUGGGUUGAUCAUUACAUUUGAAAAAGUUAAAUGCCAAAUACUACUACUCACAGCCAUCAUAAAGCAGGAAAAUAUAUCGAAGUGAAUACAGUUGUGGUGUAAAUGCAGGCAGUUCCAAUGUUCUCCAAUGGUCAAUGAAGCUGGACCUACUCACAGCAAGGCUGAAUAGUCAAAAUAAGUUACUGGUAUUAAAAUAAAAUCUUUCAGUUUAUUUUUAUUAAACCUGGAGGCGAGAUGCACAUUUGUACUCCUGUCUGAGCUGUGAGAGAAUGGAGUGCAGAGGAGCGCUUUAUUCUUUGUCCUCUGGGGCAGACUGAGCAUGCUCCUACUUAGUAACAGGAGAACAGCAGCUCGCUGGCUGAACAGAGGGAGGGAAGAGGAAACUUCAGGCAGCACUGCCUCUCCAUAGCAGCAGGCAGGUGGAAGUGUUCCCUAAGAUUUUAACAAGGGCCUCUCCUACCCUCCCCGCAACAUGCACAAAAAGCCACUAGUAGAGCAUAUGCUGCAAUGAGGAGUGGGUCAGGGACUGGGAAGCCGAUUUGGCUUGUUGUGACAGCUAAUCAGAAACAGUUCCUCAUACCCUCCCCCUGUUACACCUUUUUUAAAAGUCUGUACACGAAGUGCAUUUGAGACAAAUAUUUAGUUUGUUCCUGAAAAAUAAACAGUGCAUAUUGACAGAAGUAGUAUUAUGGAACUACUGACAACCUAAGACCAUGUUCAACUUGUGUCAUUUGAGAGUGAAGUUGGAGGAGCAGAUGAAGAUCUUUCAGAGACACCUUGGUCUGUCCUUCCCUGUGAACAUCUUCUGAAUACAGCUGUCACGUUUAGUGCAAUCUAUUUCUUUCCGAAAACGAUGGUACCAGAAAGCCAGUGUAUGGUACCAGAAGGCCAGCUAACAGUUCUCUUUGUAGCCAAGACCUCUCAACAAGCACAGAGCUGGUAGAGUCAGUCCUUCCACCUUCCCUUCCAUUUGGUCCUGACACACAGUAUGGAGGUUACAAAGAACAUUUUAGGGCCUGGAAGCUUGGCUCAGAAGUCAGACUGAUGGUAGCUACAAAAGGAGAGGCCUCCUCUCCACC
Long non-coding RNA from Gavialis gangeticus (Gharial), 2798 nucleotides. RefSeq lists it as uncharacterized. NCBI's taxonomy places the organism in Eukaryota, Metazoa, Chordata, Crocodylia, Gavialidae. The transcript is spliced from 4 exons. The record is from RefSeq and is a predicted model, not a curated record.